Molecule: ribosomal RNA, 253 nt
Filed under: uncultured bacterium
Lineage: Bacteria
Description: partial 16S ribosomal RNA
Rfam family: Bacterial small subunit ribosomal RNA
Source: RNAcentral
UACAGAGGUCUCAAGCGUUGUUCGGAUUCAUUGGGCGUAAAGGGUGCGUAGGCGGCGCGGUAAGUCGGGUGUGAAAUCUCGGAGCUUAACUCCGAAACUGCAUUCGAUACUGCCGUGCUUGAGGACUGGAGAGGAGACUGGAAUUUACGGUGUAGCGGUGAAAUGCGUAGAUAUCGUAAGGAAGACCAGUGGCGAAGGCGGGUCUCUGGGCAGUAACUGACGCUGAGAAGCGAAAGCGUGGGGAGCGAACAGG